RNA transcript from Artibeus jamaicensis (Jamaican fruit-eating bat), 2825 nucleotides. It is a transcript of the gene named transmembrane protein 91, with no coding region annotated. The transcript has 5 exons. The record is from RefSeq and is a predicted model, not a curated record. Lineage: Eukaryota; Metazoa; Chordata; Mammalia; Chiroptera; Phyllostomidae.
CGCUGCGGACCCGGGCGGGAGACUGGAGCUGAGUGGGACGUCCAGAUCCUGCAACUCCAGGCUCUAGCCGGGCAGCUUGGGGCUUUCUGAAGUCCCCAUACCCGACCGGUAGAGUCGGGACAGGUGUCGGUUCAGGGGCCCAGGAGGUCCGGCAUCUGGCCCUGAGUGGAAGCACCUCCGGGAACCCCUCCCCAGCCAUGGACAGCCCCAGUCUUCCAGAACUUCAGCAGCCUCUGCUGGCAGGUGUUGGCUCCACCUGCCCUGUCCAGAAGCCUGGAGAGCCUGAGCCAGAUCCCCUCUUUGGGGAGACAGCUUUUGCAGAGUCCCUAAGGGGCUGGCAGUUUCUGCCAUCACCUCUUCCCUCUGUGAGCACUGGUCUGGGGCAGCCAGGGCACCCUGACCUUGAGGAUGCAUCAAGUGACAGCGACUCGGACUGGGACAGGGACAGCCUUCUCUCCCCGCUCCUACCCCAUGACCACCUGGGCUUGGCUGUUUUCUCUGUGCUGUGCUGUUUCUGGCCUGUGGGCAUUGCCGCCUUCUGCCUGGCCCAAAAGCACUUACCAUCGUCUGACAAACACCAAUUCUGGGCCCUCAGCACCUAGCAGGGACUGCACAAGUAGGUGCUCAACAGACAUUUAUUAGACGAAAUGAAUUCAUUCAAUAAAUGUGCAAUCCUAGUAAUGUUUCCCUGGUGGGUGUGGGGCACCCAUGUCCCCUCACCCCGAACCCCAGGGGCUGCAGCCAGGGGCACUCCUCAGGUGGCCCUGCAGCUACAGGCCCACAAGCUCUCCUGGGCACACGAGGACAGAGAGGCAAGGCUGGGUGGCAGCAGGUUUCUUUUGCACUGGAGGUAGUGGUGGGUGGUGGCAGUGGGAGGGGCGCCCUGCCCCAACUUGCCUCAGCUCUUGGAGUACCGCCUCUGCAGCGAUUCCCGGUAGAAGCGGAAGACAUGUUGCGAGGCAGCCUGGGCUGCAGCCAGGCACUGUUGGAGCUGCGUGGGAGAGACUGGUCAGUGCAAGCCCAUCCCUGCACUGCUGCGGGGCCAGUGGGCUCACCUGGUUUCUAGGGCCCCCAAACCUACCACCUCCCUCUUCACCUGGGCAAGCCCCCCACCCCCCAGGUGAGACAGGUGGGGAGGGGAUUAUUCCAAAUGCAUCUCCUCCUUCCCCACUUCAGGGCUUCUUAGAGGGGACGAGGAGAAGGAAAAAAGAAAAGGUGAGGGAAGCAGGGACCAGCUUCCGUCAACUCCAGGGCCUCAAACCAACGGGAUUGGGCAUCCUGACAGCUGGAAUAGACCUGAGCUCUGGAAACUUAUGAGCUCACGAAACUGGAGAUUUACUGGCAUUUUAGAGCCACGGGCCUUGUGACCCUGGAUGACGUUAGGAGCCACAGAAUCUGAAACCCCAAAUCUUAACUGCCACAUGUCACUAGAGUCUUGGGAGGUCCAGACUGGAAAUGCUCUUGGAGACCAUUUGCAGUUUCUGAACUCUUCGGACCUGGAGUGGGGAGUCCCCCCUUUCUGAGAAACAUUGACGUGAAAGAGGAAUACUGACGGACUGGCUGUCUUCUCGCACGCGCCCCGACUGGGGAUCAAACCCGCAACCUGGGUACGUAGCCCCAACCCAGAAUCAAACCUCUGACCUUCUGGUCCACAGGACAACGCUCUCAACUGAGCCCCACUGGCCAGGGCAGGCUUCCCUUUAAAAUUCCCACAAAGGUUUCUUGGCUACAAAGUCUACAAACUCCUGUUCACAGAGGACUCAAGGAGGGGGGGCUCUCCUCAAACCUCUGAGGUCAGGGCAGAGCUGGGACAUGUCAGGGGUAGGGAAGAUCUGGGGUUCCCCCACAUCCACAUGCUGCUACCUCAGCAUCAGAGAAGAGUCCCUUGGUGGUGGACAUGAGUAGCUUCUGCUCCACGCUGUCGAGUGCAAAGGUCAGGACUGCCCGGGCCUCCUAGGGAUGAGGGAUAGAAGGUGGGGGACGCGGGCUCUCCCUUCAGGUACAAUGUCGGCUGAUCCCGAAGAAAGGACUUGCCUUUCCCAAAGCCAAGUACCCCUGCAUCCAGUGUGGCUGUGUACCUAGGGACCACCCCUCCCAGUUUCCUAGGCCGUUCCCCUAGAUCCUACACCGAUUCCAACCACAGGCUUCUGAUGGGCUUCCAGGCGGUUUUCCUGCCCUGCAGGGGGAGCCACAGUACACCUCAUUUACCUGGCGCCUCCUAGCUUUUGUGCUCUGUACUCCUGAGGCACGAAGUGGCAAAAUACAUUUUCUGGGUGCCCCUUAAAGGUAGUACAGUCCUCCACCUGUACUCUGGUGGGGCACUGACAGGAGGGAGACCAGCACCCAGGGCAAAGCCAGGUCUACGCAGCCACAAGUGACUGCAGCAAUGCCUCCAAUAGCACAGGCAGGAGCUACAGGUUCCUGAUGACUCUUCCCUUUUCUUCCUUCAGCUCUUCCAACACUGUUGUAACCAGUUCCCUGCAUUAAACCCUCCACUGGAAAUCCCCCAGUGGCCUCUGCUUUCCUGACUGGAUGUGAGUGGGCUAGUAACUCAGAGUAACCACAGCCCCAGGAUACUGUGAACUUGAGCCGAUGAGGAAUGCUCUUUCUUCCUGUGCCUCUUUGCCUCUUGAGAUAUAAGCAGAGCUUAAGCAGCCAAUCGCAGCCUCAGGAGAGAUACUGGCCAGAGAUAAUGGAGCUAGAAGUGCAGAAAAGCGCAGGUACUAAGAAAUGCAAAGGAAACCCUGAAGGCGUCCGAGGCCCUGGCUUGAUCUCUGUUCUUUCUGAGUUUGGUUCUGAAUGUCAAUAAAUUCCCUACUUGCUCA